UCGCAGGCGAAACCUGCAGCUGGCGGCGAGCUCCCCAGCGCGCGCCUCACGCUGGCCGAGCCAUCCCUGGAGAGGAGGCUGGCGCUCGCAACAGGAGCCUGGCGCAGCUCGCGGCGAGGUUCCCCGUUAGUGAGUGAUUCCACAAGUGUCCAUUAUGGGGUUUCCUGCAUCUUCCUCUGCUACUGGCCCCUUUUGGAAAGAGGAUACCAGAAAUCAGCUUUUCAUGUCAGGAAAUCAUCUCUUUAACCAGGGCUGCUGACCAUCUUCAAGAAAUUCACUAAAAUGGACACCAGAGGAACUCAACAGAAAGAUCUUUAUAUAAGGACACCAUGGAACCUGGAUGAGCUUCAGGGAUUUACAAGGUUACAGUUGCCUUGACAGGUUCAAUACCACAGCAAUCCUAAAGGAAUAAAGAAGUGAAGAAAACACACUGUGUAGAUAAGGUUACACCUAGUGCAGAAAUGGACUUACUGUAGAUUACUAUGCUACUCAUCACACCCAAAAGAUAGCCUUUUGGUUAGUGGGCAUGCAGAACUGAAACAUGAAUAGUGUUCCAAUUACUAGAAAUGAAUAAACCAAUAUUUAUUCCAAGUGGAGCCCAAAGGUCUGCAAGUUAGAAGGAUCACCAAAGAAGAACUAAUAGUAAAAAAGGGAGGUACUUUUCCAGGGAUAGAUUAUCCCUUCCUUUUUCCCCCACAGCAGAGGGGAUGAAAACCAAUGGAAGUGUCCUGAUUUUGGUUUGUAUACAGAGGGAUUGAUCAUAAGUGGCAUCAUACUCUAUUCCUUCAAGUCUCCAGAAUCCCCUGUACGUGAUCUGUGUGUGUUUGGAGCUUUGUGACACACAGGGUAGUUGAAGGUGGCAGAGUUACAACAUUAUCACUCUCUAUGCCAUCCUGAUCCUCCAUAUCCAUG
This is a long non-coding RNA of Chrysemys picta bellii (western painted turtle), 912 nucleotides long. RefSeq lists it as uncharacterized. The record is from RefSeq and is a predicted model, not a curated record. Lineage: Eukaryota; Metazoa; Chordata; Testudines; Emydidae.